UAUCUGGUAUAUCUCUAAUACAGCCCUCCUCUUUUCCCAACGAGAAGAUCCACAAUACCUCCUCCUUCUGCUACCCAAGUUUUGGUCAACCUGACUAAGUAAACUUUACGACAAAUACAUGAAAUAAUAUAUAUUAUGAUUUAGAAAUAGUACUUUUCUUUCCACGCCCACCUUCCAUGAAGCAAUGUAAUUCAGGGUUUUCCCAGACAUCUUCUACACGCCUGUCAACACUUUUUGAGUCGUCUAACAAUUUUCCCAAGCACAUCAUCUCCUUUUCUUCCAAGUUGCCUAUGAUACAGCGCUUUUCAAAUCUCUGUGUGACACUGUCACUGAAAAAUCUAUCCUACACCAUAAGAAGACCUGCACAGAGCAUCAGGACAGUUGUCCUCAUAGGUAAAAAUAUAGUCA
Molecule: non-coding RNA, 408 nt
Organism: Ceratotherium simum simum (southern white rhinoceros)
Lineage: Eukaryota; Metazoa; Chordata; Mammalia; Perissodactyla; Rhinocerotidae
Source: RefSeq, a predicted model, not a curated record